This 65-nucleotide transfer RNA is filed under the name Urocitellus parryii (Arctic ground squirrel). RNAcentral describes it as "Spermophilus parryii (Arctic ground squirrel) tRNA". It matches the Rfam family "tRNA". Rfam says of the family: Transfer RNA (tRNA) molecules are approximately 80 nucleotides in length. Their secondary structure includes four short double-helical elements and three loops (D, anti-codon, and T loops). The record is from Rfam by way of RNAcentral. RNAcentral also lists the same sequence under 2 other names. Lineage: Eukaryota; Metazoa; Chordata; Mammalia; Rodentia; Sciuridae.
GGUGUGGCUCAAUGGUAGAGCACUUGCCUAGCAUGUGUGAAGCACUGGGUUCGAUCCUCAGCACC